UGCCUUACACAUGCAAGUCGAACGGCAGCACGGGGGCAACCCUGGUGGCGAGUGGCGAACGGGUGAGUAAUACAUCGGAACGUGUCCUGGAGUGGGGGAUAGCCCGGCGAAAGCCGGAUUAAUACCGCAUACGCUCGAGAGAGGAAAGCGGGGGAUCUUCGGACCUCGCGCUCAAGGGGCGGCCGAUGGCGGAUUAUCUAGUUGGUAGGGUAAAGGCCUACCAAGGCGACGAUCCGUAGCUGGUCUGAGAGGACGACCAGCCACACUGGGACUGAGACACGGCCCAGACUCCUACGGGAGGCAGCAGUGGGGAAUUUUGGACAAUGGGGGCAACCCUGAUCCAGCAAUGCCGCGUGUGUGAAGAAGGCCUUCGGGUUGUAAAGCAC
This 386-nucleotide ribosomal RNA is filed under the name uncultured organism. RNAcentral's name for it is "bacterial SSU rRNA". It matches the Rfam family "Bacterial small subunit ribosomal RNA", at positions 45 to 433 of the family's 1533-position model. The record is from RNAcentral.